UAAUUUUAGUCAACUUCUGUAAUUAUUAUAAGAAGAAAAAUGCAAAAAAAAAACAAAAAAAAACAUACCAUCAUCACCUAGCCCUGAGACCAAUUAUCCGACAUCCGUGAUCCGAACCGGGAUCCGUUGCGACCCGUUCCGGAAAACCGGAUAUCCGGAUAGAGCGGAGCCGGAUCCGGAUAGUGAAAUAAUGGAUCCGGCCGGAUACGGAUACGGAUAGUGGAAAAUUUUAGACCGGAUAUCCGGAUCCGGUAUUUUUAAUAUUUUAUUAUUAUUUUUAUUAAUAUUUAUUAAUAUUAAUAUUACAUAAUAUAUUUUUCUUAUUUUUAUAUAUUAAAAAUUGUUUUUCUUAUUUUUUUUAAAAAAUUAAUACAUUUUUAAAAAAUUUUAAAUUUUUUAUGAUAAUUUAAAAAAAAAAAAAAAAAUACCGGAUACGUAUAUCCUGUUUUUAGUACAAAUAUCCGGUACCCAGAUAUCCGGGAGAACGGAUCCGGAGCCGGAUAUUAAACUUACGGAUCCGCCGGAUACGGAUACGGAUCCGGAUAUCCUAAAAAAGGUCGGAUAUCCGGCUCCGCCCCAGGCCUAUCAUCACCCAACUCGUAUUCACCUAAAUCCUUUAUCAUAUAAAAAUAAUAACUUUUAAGUUCUAACUUCUAAGAAAAAGUUCCCUAUUUACAAGCUAAAUCCUAAACUUGUAACCUAUACAAAACGUAACUCAAAC
RNAcentral lists this long non-coding RNA (721 nucleotides) under Capsella rubella. RNAcentral's name for it is "long non-coding RNA (CRUB_LNC002775)". Lineage: Eukaryota; Viridiplantae; Streptophyta; Magnoliopsida; Brassicales; Brassicaceae. The record is from RNAcentral.